Molecule: long non-coding RNA, 2700 nt
Organism: Beta vulgaris subsp. vulgaris (sugar beet)
Lineage: Eukaryota; Viridiplantae; Streptophyta; Magnoliopsida; Caryophyllales; Amaranthaceae
Exons: 3
Source: RefSeq, a predicted model, not a curated record
UAGAUAUAUGUGCUAGCUGUAAGACAUGGAAUAACAUCCGUUUGUAUAUAUUUGUUUUUCUUCAUUGCUCCUUUUAAAAAUGUCUUCAGGCUUUGAAAGUACAGUGGCCUGUGAUUGUGUUAGUUAUAUGUUAUAACUUGAAUAGAGUUUUGAUAUUAACAUCACCUACAUAUCUGAUAGGGCUACGCAUUAUUUUAUGUAAAAAAGUUUGGAAGUAUUGAGAUUUUCUACCAUUAAAACAUUAGCAACUACUAUUCUCAGUAUUCCAAUUAUUUCCAUAUCUAAUUUUUUAAAGUUAUUCUCAUAGUUUGAUAUUUGAUGCUUUUUCAUGUCAUGAUCCCGGAUUUUCUGUUUCCCAUUCAUUUUUAAUGCAUUGGAGUACUUUAAAAUAUAAAUAGCUAUUGGAAAUCUUUGUUUUUAAGACUGCAAAAAUGCCUGGAUUUUAUGCAAAUGGUGAGUAUGAUCUUAGUGGAUUUGCUGUGGGUGUUGUGAAGAAUGAUUCAGUUAUUGAUGGGAAGAAUAUUGAGGCUGGAGAUGUGCUCAUUGGUCUCCCGUCCAGUUGAGUACACUCCAAUGGUUUUUCUCUUGUGAGAAGGCUAGUUCACAAUUUUGUCUUAUAAAGCAUAAUUAGCGAUGAGUUAGAAGACUUGAGAUACAAUUCAGCCAAAAUGCCUAAUCAGAUGAAAGCAAUUAGUUUAUACACCGACCUUUGUACACAUGUUGUAGGGUUUUGGCACAAAGCAAUUGCUCUUUGACAGACAAAAUUCAUGGUGAAACAGCUACCUUGGGUGAAGCCUUUAUGGCCCCAACAGUCAUCUAUGUUAAACAAGUGGUUUUAGUUGUUCCAUUUGUCAAGCAUGUAACUACAUCAUUAGGGCUUGAUGGAUGAGGAUCUGCAUAUCUUAAAUUAUAUUAAUGCUCUUUGGUUGUGAAGGUGCUUGAUGUGAUCAGUGCUUGAUGUGAUCAGCAAAGGAAGAGUCAAAGGGAUAUCCCAUGUAACUGGUGGUGGGCUAGAGUUUUCCCCAAGGGUCUUGGUGCUGUCAUGUAAUGAGAGCAUUUUAUGAUGCGAAGACCCAUGUCUUGCUCCGAUCCCCCCCUCUUUCACUCCUCACUCCGGCAAGCCUAUGCUGUAGAAGUGGCCAGGGUUUGAGCACAUGGUCUACACUUAUGCGGUAAAAGUGGUUGUAAUUCUUAACUGAAGAGUUAAACUUCAUUGGGCCCACAGACAAGCCCAUGUUGGAGGAGAGAGUGACCACAUACAAGGUUGGCAGGGUUCCAUCCUAAAACCAAUUGGUGAUAGGUGGAGUAACCCACCAAUCUAUAUGUUAGUCAUUCUCUCUCUAAUUCUUCAAUGUGGGACAAUUAUUUCUAACUCACAUGUGGGCUUUACUCUUAACACUCCCCCUGCAUUUCAUAACGGGCCAAGAUCGUCCGCUCUGAUACCAUGUUAAAGUUCAUUGGGCCCACAGACAAGCCCAUGUUGGAGGAGAGAGUGACCACAUACAAGGUUGGCAGGGUUCCAUCCUAAAACCAAUUGGUGAUAGGUGGAGUAACCCACCAAUCUAUAUGUUAGUCAUUCUCUCUCUAAUUCUUCAAUGUGGGACAAUUAUUUCUAACUCACAUGUGGGCUUUACUCUUAACAGUUCUGUCAAAUCCUAGUCAAAGUAAUCAAUUUUGUAGCUUGGCUUCAUGGGAUGUGUCGUACUUGUUCUCACUCUCUUGUAUCUUGUUAAGAUUGACAAUCUGGUAUGCGUCAAGUAUAUUUGAAGAGCACACAAGUGUUUUUAAACUAGUAAAUGGAUGAGUGACCUGAGGUGCUCGAACUGGUUGUUAGUCCACCAAGUCUGCCUGGAAUUUGACCUGUUUGCUUUGUUCUUGACCACAUGCAGGUGGAAUCUUGUCAUGGGAUGUAUCUACUGACAUUUCUUGCAAUAACAAGAGUCCAUAAUUGACCCUAUCAAUGGCAGAGUAGACCAACGAGCCAGGAUGCUGCAAGGGAGCUCUAUUUCUCCUACUCACUUGUUCCAAUAAAUUUUGCUCACUGCUGAACUUGCAGAAACACUUUCAAGUUUCAACUGACCUGCAAAAGGAAGGACUUUAUGGUCGAACUCUGACACUAACUAAAAACUGCAUGUUUUGAGGUGAUUUUUGAUGUCUGCAUUUCUUUAUUCUUGGUCCCUCCACAACAUCAGACGUCCACUAGAAUCAUGCUGAUGCAUUUGUGCAAGUGAUCAUAUGCAUAAAUGUAUUAGACAGGCGCUAAAAAUUUAAGAAGCUAUAGCACUUAUUUGCUGAAAAAAAACUUGAAAAGCUUCCUAUAUUCUGCUAAAGCUCUUUGAUGUCAAAACUCAAAAUUGAUUUUGUUGUGUGGAUAUUCGGUCUGACAAUAAUCGAAUGCUAUACUGCCUUCAAUGUUUUGGUUUGACUUCAAUCAAUCUUAGCUACUCUUAGCUCUCAACAUUAAACAUUGAGCUCUUGAUUUACUUAGUUGUGGUUUUCCAGGUGUAUGUUGGUCCCCCUUUCGCUAUAUAAUUAAUCUGAACUACGUCCGAAAAGGUCCAUAAUCCGUCCAGUCUUGGGGUGCAUCUUGGUAUUCGAGCCAAAAAAUCGCCGGGGGUAGGAUCUGCCGAUAUUAAGCCUAAAACAGUCUAAUUACUCAUAUUAGUACUAUUAAUAGUGUCAAAAUUAGGAUGCGUUGCU